RNAcentral lists this ribosomal RNA (253 nucleotides) under uncultured bacterium. RNAcentral's name for it is "partial 16S ribosomal RNA". It matches the Rfam family "Bacterial small subunit ribosomal RNA", at positions 524 to 776 of the family's 1533-position model. The record is from RNAcentral.
UACGUAGGUGGCAAGCGUUGUCCGGAUUUACUGGGCGUAAAGGGCGUGCAGGCGGUUUGCUAAGUCUAGGGUGAAAGCUCCCGGCUUAACUGGGAGAGGUCCUUGGAUACUGGCAGACUUGAGGAGGGUAGAGGAGAGUGGAAUUCCCGGUGUAGUGGUGAUAUGCGUAGAUAUCGGGAGGAACACCAGUGGCGAAGGCGGGUCUCUGGGCAGUAACUGACGCUGAGGAGCGAAAGCGUGGGGAGCGAACAGG